UACGAAGGGGGCUAGCGUUGUUCGGAAUUACUGGGCGUAAAGCGCGUGUAGGCGGUUAUCCAAGUCGGGUGUGAAAGCCUUGAGCUCAACUCAAGAAAUGCAUUCGGUACUGGGUGACUAGAGGACCGGAGAGGAUAGUGGAAUUCCCAGUGUAGUGGUGAAAUACGUAGAGAUUGGGAAGAACACCAGUGGCGAAGGCGGCUAUCUGGACGGUUUCUGACGCUAAGACGCGAAAGCGUGGGGAGCAAACAGG
This 253-nucleotide ribosomal RNA is filed under the name uncultured bacterium. RNAcentral describes it as "partial 16S ribosomal RNA". It matches the Rfam family "Bacterial small subunit ribosomal RNA", at positions 524 to 776 of the family's 1533-position model. The record is from RNAcentral.